UGCAUGUAUUAAAGGCAUUGACCUGUAUACUUUAAGUAGGUGGCUUUUGUUGCACGUGAAUUGUAUUUCAAUAAAGAGGUUGAGGAAAAGAAGCAGCAAAGGUGAAUUUUGGAGCAAUGCAUAGGGCUGUCAAAGCCAGAUGCUGUCCUGCCUGCAUAUUGUGAAUGUUUUCAAGUCUCUUAUGCACUUUUCAUUCCUGUCAUUCGUCUGGUGGGACAAAGGCCCACUGUGUACCAUCAUUCAUGAAGAGAUCUUUGCAAUGGUGGUGACUUAAGGAAUGUUCCUUUUAUUAAUUUAAUUUAAUUUAAUUUAAUUCUAUUUUUUUUUGCUAUUAGAGAUGUCAAGCCAGGGCAAUAACGCUCUCUUUCCACGCUGCCACCAACCUUUGUUAUCCACACACUUCCUCCCGGAAUCUCUGUUCCCACCGUGCCGGGCUGCCCACUGCCCCACGUUAACUCUCUGUGCCUUUCGUUCCAGAGGUUCCCCUUGUUCCCUCAUACGCCUUCUCUCAGCCCUGACUGCUUUCUGCUCACGGCCGUCAUCAAAACCUGGCUCUUCUGACUCCGUCUCUGUGUGCAUGGCUGGACUUUCUGCGCUCUUUUGUAAUGUAUUUAUUUACCUACCUGAGCCUCUGCCGGCCUGGGAACCUUCUGAGGCUGGAUACAGUGUCUUUUCGAUUUCUGAUUUCCUAUUGCCCGGUUUGGCAGGUGGAAGGUGUAAAAGAUCUGUUAAUUGAACCUAAUUGCCAAGACUCCGAAGAGCAGUGCUCUGAGUGCCUCUGCUGAGUUAUUUUCCUUAGUGCUAGCUGCAAAAACCGGAAUGACUGGGCCAAAAGGCAGAGGCACCAAAACCUAUCGAUAGGACAAGAAGGAUUCCUUGGCUGCUCUGUUGUUUGCUACUCCCCGCUCUAGAAAUGCACAGCUCAGUUGCUCUAACAAGAUGGGAUAAAAUGAAACCCAGGAGUAGGCCAAUGCUUCGUUAGCUCAGCUAAUCAACCUUACCACCAGGCACCUGGUCUUUGUAUCUGCUGCUCCAUCCUUUAUGUGCCAGUUUUCAUCCUUGACUCCUCAUGAUUUCAAGAUGGCUAUAACUCCAUCAUUUCCAAUCCAAGGCACCAAGAGGGGAGUGGGAGAAAGGCAUAUAUAUA
Molecule: long non-coding RNA, 1147 nt
Organism: Pipistrellus kuhlii (Kuhl's pipistrelle)
Lineage: Eukaryota; Metazoa; Chordata; Mammalia; Chiroptera; Vespertilionidae
Exons: 3
Source: RefSeq, a predicted model, not a curated record